CGGGGUGAGUAACACGUGGAUAACCUACCUAUAAGACUGGGAUAACUUCGGGAAACCGGAGCUAAUACCGGAUAAUAUUUUGAACCGCAUGGUUCAAAAGUGAAAGACGGUCUUGCUGUCACUUAUAGAUGGAUCCGCGCUGCAUUAGCUAGUUGGUAAGGUAACGGCUUACCAAGGCAACGAUGCAUAGCCGACCUGAGAGGGUGAUCGGCCACACUGGAACUGAGACACGGUCCAGACUCCUACGGGAGGCAGCAGCU
This 260-nucleotide ribosomal RNA is filed under the name uncultured Staphylococcus sp. Its description in RNAcentral is "partial 16S ribosomal RNA". It matches the Rfam family "Bacterial small subunit ribosomal RNA", at positions 100 to 355 of the family's 1533-position model. The record is from RNAcentral. Lineage: Bacteria; Bacillati; Bacillota; Bacilli; Caryophanales; Staphylococcaceae.